Molecule: RNA transcript, 4589 nt
Organism: Quercus lobata
Lineage: Eukaryota; Viridiplantae; Streptophyta; Magnoliopsida; Fagales; Fagaceae
Exons: 8
Source: RefSeq, a predicted model, not a curated record
ACCAAAAUGUGUUUUUCGCCAAAAAAAAAAGUGUGCAUGGCUGAUUUGCCUAUCGAGUUUCAAAACGACGUCGCUUGCUUCUGUUUCCUUCAACCCCUUCGUUCGUGAGCGCCAUAAAGCUUCCCAAUACCUUCAUUCGUUCACCAUUCUCUCUGCUACUUACUGGUAAAAAAGUGAUGUUAGUGGUAGACCCGGAUGAGAGUCAGGAAAAGCUCGUCAACUCACUUGGUGUGAAAAAUGUUGUUAUUUAUUUUUUAUUUUUUGGGUGUUAGUAGCAUUACUCAAUUUAUUGUACAAGAUGUAAAGUAGUAUGCUUUUUAGGAUUUGCCUUUGUUAAAAAAGUAGGCUGAUUAAUUAUUAAGUUGAAUGUGUAUGGUAAGGCAGGACUCGAUGCUUUGUUAAGCUUGAAAUUUUGUCUUUUUUGGGUUAAUCUAUACUUUUGGCAUUGGUUCAGGAUGGUACUAUAUGUGUGUUGAUUAACGCUUUUUUUGGAUGAUUGGGCUUUCUGGGGCUUCUAGAUGUCUAUAAGGAUCUUGAGCACAAAGUUUUCCUUUUGUUGAAGAUGUCUUUAUGUUCAAAUGCACAAUCAACUGAGGUUGGGCAUUGUGGUCGUCGAAAUGCUUCUGGUGAUAAUGAAUGUAAUGAAAGUUCUUUGAGCAAUGAGGAGGACAGGGGAGGAGGAUGAGGAUGAAGAUGUGGAUUUCAAUCCAUUUCUAAAGGAAACCCUUUCACCAGAAACUUCUUUGAGCUUGGGCUCUGAAAUUGAUGGUUUGGAUGGUGAAGUUGACAGUUGGGGAAAGACUUUUGAUAAUAGUUUGGGAGUUAAUUUGUUGAAGCCAACUAGUGAGGUGCAAAACUCAGCUGUUGGAGAUUCUGUUUCCAGAACUCCUAAGAAGAGAAAAUCUUGCUCAAACUCCCAACCAAAAGCUGAUACUGUUCAAACAAAGGACAAUGUUAGUGAAAUUGAUUAUAUUGAUGUUUUGGUAGGAGACUUAAGUAAUACAGCACAAUCCCAGAAGCCUGUAAUAGAUUUAGAGAAUGAGGAUGCUGUCUGCACACGUACUAGGGUCUGUUAUUCCCUUGCAAGUUUCACACUUGAUGAACUCAUGACUUUAGUGGAGAUGGUGAUGGUCAGUCAAAUCAAGAGAAUGAAAUUGUUGAUGAUGAAGAUGAAUAUAAUGAUGCGGAUUUUGAGACAGAAAUUCAAGAGUUGCUUGAGAGUGAUGUUGAUGAAAGUACUUGAGAUAAAACCCAAAAGAACUAUGGGGGAGCUGGAUGGCGGCCAGAGACUAGGCAGAACAGGCGCCAAUAAAACUCUGCCCAAUAUAAAAAGAAGCUUUCAGGACAGGAGAAGAGGCCAUUAGGUCCUCUCUUGCCAGUUUUGCAGAAUGGACCAACUGCAAUCUUCCCUACUAAUUGUGGGAUAACUUUGAUGCCUCAUUCUUGUGCAGCAGAAGAUGGUUCUAUAAAUGGGUUUACUCUCCACCAAAUAGGCCAGUUACAUUGUUUGAUACAUGAACAUGUGCAACUUCUCAUUCAAGUAUUUUCUGUGUGUGUUCUUGACUCUUCUCGGCAACACAUUGCCUCCCAGGUUCAGGGAUUGAUUUUUGAGAUGCUUAAAAAACAUAAUGAAGUAUUAGCCUGGAAAAGUGUCCCAUAUCCUAGUAUUUGUUUUUACCCUCCAUAUGUUUGCUCAUCAGUGCCAGAUGAACAUCCCAGAGUCGCCCCAGCACAAUGCAGUUUAGAAUCAUUUCCUUCAUUUAAUACACAAAGAGUUUGCUCUCCUGUAAAUAACCAGAUGUUAGCUUCUCAAAACAUGUAUCCUUCUAAAGGAAGAUGUGUACAUGUUUUCAAUGAGCAAGUGGGUUCUUUCCAAAACAUCGAGGACUCUUUCUGGGUGCCCUUGAUAAGUGGUCUGGUACUGUCCAUCUUGGAUGUGGCUCCACUCAAUAUAGUUGGAAGAUCUAUGGAUGAUGUUUCUACUGCUGUUCAGCACUAUCAACAUCGUCCUGUGAAAUCUAGUAGUGAUGCUCCCUUUGAAAGAAAACCACUGUUUCCCCUUCCUUCUUUCCCGUUGUAUACUGAAGCUAAUUCUGAAGUUUUAAGGGGACCCAUUACCUCAGCUGUUAACAUGGUUUCAUCUACAGCCAGUCAACAAUUGCCUAAAAAAACAAUGGCUGCUGCACUUGUAGAAAGCACCAUGAAGAAAUCAGUUGUUUUCGUUACCAAGGAAAUUGUAAAGUUAGCUCAGAGAUUUUUUUCCUUUCUUCAACCCUUCAUUAUUUCCACAUAAGCCACCCUCUGCAGCUGUUAUAAAUAGGGUGAUUUUCACUGAUGCAGAGGAUGAGUGGGUCCCAUUUAAUUCUGUUGUUGAUGAUGGUGAUACGCAUUAACCUUUAUGUUGAAGAUUUGUUUCCUGUAAUUACUUCCAAGUGCCAUGGUCAUGGUUAAUGCCGGCUAUUAGCGCUGGGGUUGAUGGAAUACAAUACGAAUUGGAAGGCUAUUCAACAAUGGUUUCUUCCAUGCAAAUCGAGGCAUCAGAUUUUUGUCAGGCAAAAGAAUCGUUGCUCAUCUAAAGCACCAGAAAAUCCCAUAAAGGCAGUUUGGAGAAUGAAGACCUCUCCAUUGACUGUGGAAGAGAGAACAUGUAUUCAGGAGGGACGUAAGGUUUAUAAAUUAGAUUGGAUGUCUGUGUAGCGAUUUUUUGUCCCACAUAGAGAACCAUCUUUGCUACCUCGGCAGUGGCUCGUUGCCUUUGGAACUCAGAGGUCAUAUAAGCAGGAUGAAGCAAAAAAGGAGAGGCAGUGUUUGUAUGAGUCAAAAAGAAAAAAAGUGCAAAACUGGAGGUUUGGCAAGUUGGCAAACUGCAUCUGAAAAGGAGUUGUAUUUGCUACAGGAUGAUCAAGCUGAAAAUGCUGGAGGAAAGAAUAAAAGUGGAGAUGAGAGCACAGAUAAUGCUGGGCAAGGUUAUGUUCAUCAAGCGUUUUUAGCAGAUUGGAGGCCAGGUGGCUUCAACCUCAAUUCUUCUGCCCGUCCUUGCAGAAAUGUGAAAGACAAAAGCCUUCCUAGGGAUACAUUAUAACAAGAGGGUACUCAUAUAAGGGAGCAGCAAAUUUAUGAUGGGUCCAGAGAGACUCAACUCCAGACUGGAAUCAUGUACAAGUUUUCAACUCUAUCAGUGUACCUGGGUAUUUCAUCUCAGUUUGCUAGUGCUAGAAAUGGUACAUCUAAUAAAAUGGAACCAAAUCAUCCAGAUUCUGGUAUGACAUUGAAUACCAGAAAAUCCCAAUUCUUUUUUCAGCCUUAUCGUGGUCGUAGAAAAAGUGGUGCUUCUAAUUCCCACUUAGUGAAAUUAGUGCUAGACUUGCCUCCUGUGAAUCUUCCACAAUCUGUUUGUGUAGUCUCACAGGCAGACUUCAAAGGCUUUCAAUUUGGAGCAUCUACCAAGAUUUCUGUGGCUGGAGGUGGUAUUUGUAAUUCUGGAAUAGAAAAUUUAGUUUCUCGAAUUCCUCAUGCUGUGAACUUGGGAAGCACCCAUUCAGUAAAAGCUGUACAGAAAAAAAAUAGUCUACUGAAAGACAAUGUUAGACAUUCACAUCCAGAAGAAUCUGAAAUUGAUAAGAAUAAAUGUAUUCCUGAGGGAAGACGCAUUGAUUCUGAUCUUCAGAUGCAUCCUUUACUGUUCCAGUCCCCUGAAGAUAGACGUCUGCCCUAUUAUUGAUUGAACUGCAGCACUAGUACUUCUAGUUCUUUCAUUUUCUUCUCAGGAAAUCAGCCUCAAUUGAACCUAAAUCUCUUCCAUAAUCCUUACCUAGAAAACUAUUUUGAAGGUUUUAAUAAAUCUCUGAAGUCAAGAGGAAUCUAGAGUAUCUUCUGGCAUUGACUUCCAUCCACUGCUACAAAGAACCGAUCAUGUAUAUACUGACUCAGUGACUACUGAGAAAGUUUUUGACGCUGUCCAGACUGAGUCACUAUUAAGUCUUGAUCUGGCUACUGGUGUUAAUCUUCCAAGCCCUACAGAGAAAACUAAUGAACUGGACUUGGAGAUACACCUAAGCUAUACAUCAAGAAAGAAGAAAGGCAUGGAAAGUAAAGAUGUGACUGCAUGUAAUCCAACUGUCAGUAUUGGCAGCAUCACACUCCAGGUCUACAAUGAAAACCCUAAACUUCAAUGGCCCACAUUAUUAGCAGGGUGAUAUUUGUCCCACAGUUAGUACUGACCUUGUUUCAAGUAGCCAUGGAUUGCCGAUACCAAGUAAUAACAUCAGCAGAUAUCACAUGAUGAUAUAGGUAACCGGUCUCAUCCGGAGAUUGUGAUGGAGCAGGAAGAAUUGAGCGACCCUGAUGAAGAAAUUGAAGACCAUCUGAACAUGUAGAGUUUGAGUGUGAGGAGAUGGCUGAUUCUGAAGGAGAGGAUGGAUCAGGCUGUGAACAAAUUUGGUGUUCCAAAGUAAAGUUUGACCUUUUAUAUCUUGAAAGCUUCAGGGUCAUCCCUCACAGAAGAACUAAAACUACUAUAAAAUUCGCCCUCUCAUAUUUUCUCAAGAUGAUUGAUUGAACACAAAAUUUUACUCGACAGACCUUUUUUU